This 500-nucleotide ribosomal RNA is filed under the name uncultured bacterium. RNAcentral describes it as "partial 16S ribosomal RNA". It matches the Rfam family "Bacterial small subunit ribosomal RNA", at positions 30 to 523 of the family's 1533-position model. The record is from RNAcentral.
AUUGAACGCUGGCGGCAUGCCUUACACAUGCAAGUCGAACGGCAGCACGGGAGCAAUCCUGGUGGCGAGUGGCGAACGGGUGAGUAAUAUAUCGGAACGUGCCCAGUCGUGGGGGAUAACGCAGCGAAAGCUGUGCUAAUACCGCAUACGAUCUACGGAUGAAAGCGGGGGAUCGCAAGACCUCGCGCGAUUGGAGCGGCCGAUAUCAGAUUAGCUAGUUGGUGAGGUAAAGGCUCACCAAGGCGACGAUCUGUAGCUGGUCUGAGAGGACGACCAGCCACACUGGAACUGAGACACGGUCCAGACUCCUACGGGAGGCAGCAGUGGGGAAUUUUGGACAAUGGGCGAAAGCCUGAUCCAGCAAUGCCGUGUGCAGGAUGAAGGCCUUCGGGUUGUAAACUGCUUUUGUACGGAACGAAACGGUGAGCUCUAAUACAGUUUGCUAAUGACGGUACCGUAAGAAUAAGCACCGGCUAACUACGUGCCAGCCGCCGCGGUAA